UUGAACGCUGGCGGCAUGCCUUACACAUGCAAGUCGAACGGGCUUUGGGGCUUGCCUCAAAGUUAGUGGCGAACGGGUGAGUAAUAUAUCGGAACGUACCCUUGAGUGGGGGAUAACCAGUCGAAAGAUUGGCUAAUACCGCAUACGAUCUAAGGAUGAAAGUGGGGGACCUUCGGGCCUCAUGCUCCUGGAGCGGCCGAUAUCUGAUUAGCUAGUUGGUAGGGUAAAAGCCUACCAAGGCUUCGAUCAGUAGCUGGUCUGAGAGGACGAUCAGCCACACUGGGACUGAGACACGGUCCAGACUCCUACGGGAGGCAGCAGUGGGGAAUAUUGGACAAUGGGCGAAAGCCUGAUCCAGCCAUGCCGCGUGUGUGAAGAAGGUCUUCGGAU
RNAcentral lists this ribosomal RNA (390 nucleotides) under uncultured bacterium. RNAcentral's name for it is "bacterial SSU rRNA". It matches the Rfam family "Bacterial small subunit ribosomal RNA", at positions 30 to 423 of the family's 1533-position model. The record is from RNAcentral.